UCUGGCUUGCUGAAUAUCUCCAACAAUGUCCUCAACACAUAUCAAAAAAUGUGACUGUUUUCAUUCAUGGGUACUCAAAGAAGCUAAUUCAAUCAAACACAGUGAACACGUCAAAGUGGCAAAGGGUGAGCCUGAGUGGCUUGUCACAGUUACAGCCGUGGUGCAAAGGCAACAUGGUGCCUCCAUGCUCCCCUGAGUCAAUAGCCAUGUCCCAAUGGCACGGCAACAAACCUGUCUCUGACAAAUGGUGAAGAAAAUUAAGAAUAAUACCUAAUUUCAAGGAGCAAUUAUUGUACACAACAGCAGGAACUGCACUUUAAUGGCCUCUGAAACGACACCAGCCUGAAAGCUCCAUCAAUCACAGUCCCACAGCUGCUCACAUCCAUGCUCGAGCCCACCAGCACUCACCUGGACUGUGAGCUGUCCAGAAAGGAUGUGAUUAGCUGCCGCCUCCCAUCUUUGUUGAAAACCAGAGCCUUACCACUGGCUAAGACACCACAACCAAAGCUGACUUCAGCACCACGGAUAGAGUAAAAGUUAUGGUAAGAAGAAAGUCUGGAACUGCCAAAGCUUUCCGAAAUAAACAUUGGGAAUGUCUGAGACGCCAUCUCACAAGCUGGGCCAGAAAAGCCUGGGUCACACCUGAAAGAAAGAUAGAAAGGCUACUUCAUAGAUACAGCCAUCCUCCGAGUCACCAAGAAGUUUCCAAACAGGCAAGAAAACAUAAGCUAAAUUGGACACCCUGGGAGCAUAAGUGUGAUUUGCACGGCAAGCAACUGGAAUGUGUUUUCCAGUAAGAGUAGCAUAGUGCACCUCAGGGAGAAAAGGAAGAAAGGGCGUUUAAUGAAGCUCAAGACCAUGACUUAGAAAUGUGAUUAAGUCUGUGCGUACUGACAAAACACCGGAAAAGCCUACAUCAAUGGCUCGUGAUUGUGACGGACGCAGACACUAACCAUUAUCAAUUGCCCACAUGUUUC
Long non-coding RNA from Mastomys coucha (southern multimammate mouse), 977 nucleotides. RefSeq lists it as uncharacterized. The transcript is spliced from 4 exons. The record is from RefSeq and is a predicted model, not a curated record. Lineage: Eukaryota; Metazoa; Chordata; Mammalia; Rodentia; Muridae.